Gasterosteus aculeatus aculeatus (three-spined stickleback) is the source of this 769-nucleotide long non-coding RNA. The record is from Ensembl. NCBI's taxonomy places the organism in Eukaryota, Metazoa, Chordata, Actinopteri, Perciformes, Gasterosteidae.
CUUUAAGAUGGUUGUCACCUUUCGUUCAUGUUUGCGGUGUGUGACGCAGGCGGUUCAACAAACAUCGUUGCUGCAUUAAAAUCAUUUUUAGUAAUUCCUGCUCUUUUUGGAGAUGUUUCACUCAGUCGCUGCAUAUAUUUAUUUCAAUAGUAAAUAACAAGACAGAAUAAAGAUCUCAGUCACUUCAGCAUAAAGCUUAUAAAACACUUUCGGAUCGGUGCUUGAUACCAAAUUGUCAUUAUCAAAAAAGUCACAAUUAAACAUGAAUAUGCUGAUUUUAUAAUGUGAAUCAUUGUAUUCUGUUAUACAAAUGUGGUCACAAGGGCUGCAGCUGAAAUACACGUCAAAGCAGUUCAAUCAAAGGGGUUUGGGAAACGGUGCCGUGAUAUAAAGGAUCCACACACACGAUAAGGGUCUCCUGCACUUUGAAAUCCGCCGCUUUGAAACACAUGUGGGAAAAGUCUGCGUGGCCGCACGCGACAUUCAAUUGUUAGAAUGUUGCCUCAACAUGGACGAAAGGCUAUAGGUGUAAUACACUGGGUUUUUCAUGUAGAGGGAUGUGUUGUGAUUUGUUCUAAUUAGUCACGUAAGCGUAAAUUGUUGAGUUCCGGAGCGGGAGAGUUGCGAGCAGGCUGAUAUAUUCUGGCAGUCCUGAAUAAAUAGGUUCCGUGAAACCCACCACGGUUUUCGGCGCUUAUUUACAUCCCGCCGUGCGUCGUGUUUCGUGAACUCAAUCGCGGAGGUGAAUACGACCGAAGACAAAACAGGC